Gavialis gangeticus (Gharial) is the source of this 103-nucleotide long non-coding RNA. RefSeq lists it as uncharacterized. The transcript is spliced from 3 exons. NCBI's taxonomy places the organism in Eukaryota, Metazoa, Chordata, Crocodylia, Gavialidae. The record is from RefSeq and is a predicted model, not a curated record.
ACAUGAGAAGUUUGGUGACACUUGAUUUGUUUGUUAAGGCAUAAUGAAACCUCAGUGGCUAAAAUAGUUUUUGUCUUGGAGCAUUGAAAGAUAUAAGGGUGCA